CCGCGCCCCGCGCCGGGGUGUUCCCGGGCCGCCACUCACCCGCAGGGAGGACAGGUCGAUGUCCACCAGACUUUUGGCAGGGGAGUCGUUCGCCAUCUUCCCUUUCUGCCUCCGCGGAUCGGCCACGAUCAGCUGAACCGGUGACCUGGCUGUAGUUGGGGAUUCGCCGAGCAUCCCUCGGCCGACGGGUCCCGAGACUUUGGGCGGAAACUGAACCCGAACCGCUCCUUUCACUGCCCGUGCUGAGUCCCUCACUCUGGACGAGGCGUGGACCAGGAGUCUUGACCCAAGUUCUGUGCCUAGAUAUCGCUGAGGAGCCAUGGAUAGGACUUCUUCCGGCAACUUUGGAAGCCAGUCAGCAGUAGACAGUUUCAUCCUGUUGAACGUGAAUAAAUGGUCUGCAAACAGUCA
Molecule: long non-coding RNA, 411 nt
Organism: Dama dama (fallow deer)
Lineage: Eukaryota; Metazoa; Chordata; Mammalia; Artiodactyla; Cervidae
Exons: 2
Source: RefSeq, a predicted model, not a curated record